Molecule: ribosomal RNA, 253 nt
Filed under: uncultured bacterium
Lineage: Bacteria
Description: partial 16S ribosomal RNA
Rfam family: Bacterial small subunit ribosomal RNA
Source: RNAcentral
UACGGAGGGUGCGAGCGUUGUCCGGAAUCACUGGGCGUAAAGGGCGCGUAGGUGGCGCGGCAAGUCAACGGUGAAAGCUCGAUGCUCAACAUCGAGUCGGCCGUCGAUACUGCCGCGCUGGAGCACUGUAGAGGCUCAUGGAAUUCCGGGUGUAGCGGUGGAAUGCGUAGAGAUCCGGAAGAACACCGGUGGCGAAGGCGGUGAGCUGGGCAGUUGCUGACACUGAGGCGCGACAGCGUGGGGAGCAAACAGG